GGUCCUGUAGCUUAGCCUGGUGGAGCGCUGCUCUUAUAAAGCAGAGGUCCCGGGUUCAAAUCCCGGCAGGACCA
RNAcentral lists this transfer RNA (74 nucleotides) under archaeon. Its description in RNAcentral is "tRNA-Ile". It matches the Rfam family "tRNA". Rfam says of the family: Transfer RNA (tRNA) molecules are approximately 80 nucleotides in length. The record is from RNAcentral.